UACGUAGGGCGCAAGCGUUGUCCGGAAUUAUUGGGCGUAAAGAGCUCGUAGGCGGUUUGUCGCGUCUGCCGUGAAAGUCCGGGGCUCAACUCCGGAUCUGCGGUGGGUACGGGCAGACUAGAGUGAUGUAGGGGAGACUGGAAUUCCUGGUGUAGCGGUGAAAUGCGCAGAUAUCAGGAGGAACACCGAUGGCGAAGGCAGGUCUCUGGGCCGAUACUGACGCUGAGGAGCGAAAGCGUGGGGAGCGAACAGG
Molecule: ribosomal RNA, 253 nt
Filed under: uncultured bacterium
Lineage: Bacteria
Description: partial 16S ribosomal RNA
Rfam family: Bacterial small subunit ribosomal RNA
Source: RNAcentral